Molecule: ribosomal RNA, 1460 nt
Filed under: Salmonella enterica
Lineage: Bacteria; Pseudomonadati; Pseudomonadota; Gammaproteobacteria; Enterobacterales; Enterobacteriaceae
Description: partial 23S ribosomal RNA
Rfam family: Bacterial large subunit ribosomal RNA
Source: RNAcentral
AGACCCGAAACCCGGUGAUCUAGCCAUGGGCAGGUUGAAGGUUGGGUAACACUAACUGGAGGACCGAACCGACUAAUGUUGAAAAAUUAGCGGAUGACCUGUGGCUGGGGGUGAAAGGCCAAUCAAACCGGGAGAUAGCUGGUUCUCCCCGAAAGCUAUUUAGGUAGCGCCUCGUGAAUUCAUCUCCGGGGGUAGAGCACUGUUUCGGCUAGGGGGCCAUCCCGGCUUACCAACCCGAUGCAAACUGCGAAUACCGGAGAAUGUUAUCACGGGAGACACACGGCGGGUGCUAACGUCCGUCGUGAAGAGGGAAACAACCCAGACCGCCAGCUAAGGUCCCAAAGUCAUGGUUAAGUGGGAAACGAUGUGGGAAGGCCCAGACAGCCAGGAUGUUGGCUUAGAAGCAGCCAUCAUUUAAAGAAAGCGUAAUAGCUCACUGGUCGAGUCGGCCUGCGCGGAAGAUGUAACGGGGCUAAACCAUGCACCGAAGCUGCGGCAGCGACACUGUGUGUUGUUGGGUAGGGGAGCGUUCUGUAAGCCUGUGAAGGUGUGUCGUGAGGCAUGCUGGAGGUAUCAGAAGUGCGAAUGCUGACAUAAGUAACGAUAAAGCGGGUGAAAAGCCCGCUCGCCGGAAGACCAAGGGUUCCUGUCCAACGUUAAUCGGGGCAGGGUGAGUCGACCCCUAAGGCGAGGCCGAAAGGCGUAGUCGAUGGGAAACGGGUUAAUAUUCCCGUACUUGGUGUUACUGCGAAGGGGGGACGGAGAAGGCUAUGUUGGCCGGGCGACGGUUGUCCCGGUUUAAGCGUGUAGGUGUGUGUUCCAGGUAAAUCCGGUUCACUUUAACACUGAGGCGUGACGACGAGGCACUACGGUGCUGAAGCAACAAAUGCCCUGCUUCCAGGAAAAGCCUCUAAGCAUCAGGUAACAUCAAAUCGUACCCCAAACCGACACAGGUGGUCAGGUAGAGAAUACCAAGGCGCUUGAGAGAACUCGGGUGAAGGAACUAGGCAAAAUGGUGCCGUAACUUCGGGAGAAGGCACGCUGACACGUAGGUGAAGUGAUUUACUCAUGGAGCUGAAGUCAGUCGAAGAUACCAGCUGGCUGCAACUGUUUAUUAAAAACACAGCACUGUGCAAACACGAAAGUGGACGUAUACGGUGUGACGCCUGCCCGGUGCCGGAAGGUUAAUUGAUGGGGUCAGCGCAAGCGAAGCUCCUGAUCGAAGCCCCGGUAAACGGCGGCCGUAACUAUAACGGUCCUAAGGUAGCGAAAUUCCUUGUCGGGUAAGUUCCGACCUGCACGAAUGGCGUAAUGAUGGCCAGGCUGUCUCCACCCGAGACUCAGUGAAAUUGAACUCGCUGUGAAGAUGCAGUGUACCCGCGGCAAGACGGAAAGACCCCGUGAACCUUUACUAUAGCUUGACACUGAACAUUGAGCCUUGAUGUGUAGGAUAGGUGGGA